Centruroides sculpturatus (bark scorpion) is the source of this 831-nucleotide long non-coding RNA. RefSeq lists it as uncharacterized. The record is from RefSeq and is a predicted model, not a curated record. The transcript has 3 exons. NCBI's taxonomy places the organism in Eukaryota, Metazoa, Arthropoda, Arachnida, Scorpiones, Buthidae.
ACGGCCUUGUAGUGUAUAGCGAACGAACGAACAAACAUCCUCGUUUAUAUACAUAGAAGAAUAUAUAGUGUAGAUUUAAUUUUCAUUUUAAAACACAUUUUUUAAACUGUUUCCAUCCUGUGUGGGUGGUAACAAAGCCUUUUUAUCAAAACCAUUACGGUUUCGGUCAAGCACAAUGGGGCAGCCGUAUGAUGAUGGAGGAGCCAGACGUAUCUGAAAUGGUCUGCCCAUGAAAUAUUUCCUAAGGUUUCUCGACUGGUCCAGAUUCGAUCCCCUAGAGAGCUGUACUGUCACCUUAACCCUCUGCCAUCCGUCCUUGAAAAAUUACGUAAAGAAAGUCAACAAUUGAUUAACAAUAUUUCUAUUUUUCGACAAUAAGUAGUAUUCGAAGCAUUAUUUAUUUUUCUUUGUUAGCAGGAAAAGAGAAGAUAGGCAUUCGCACAGUUCGGGUUUCAAAAUCGCCCGCACUAGAAUCAACACGGAAAUGAAUGAGACACCGCCAAUUCUAACGUUGGUUGAUGGCAGUAAUGUUAUGUACUCUGAAGUUUAACUAAAAGUUCUAUAGAACGUGAUUAACACACUUUCUAUUGAAGACCCAAAGGCUUUUAUAUGGUAUGGUCUGAAAGAUUAAAAUAUACACUUGUACUCUAUUUUCAGAGAACAUGACGACUGACAGAUCGUCAUUUGGGUGUUGAAAGACCUUUGGGAUAUAAAUUGAUGUUCAGUUUGAGGACGAGAGACUCUUUGAUCUACAUCAGUUAUAUAUAGGCCUACGUUUUUAUAUUAGUUUUAUUUACAUUUUUAGUGUAAUCUUUUAUUCGUCGCUUUAUU